UGUUGUCUAACUAAUGUGUAGGAGGAAAGUGUAGGAAAAUGUAAUGCCUCCACUGCCGCACAUCAUCAGUCACCCUUUGCUGAGUUCUUCAGACGAGUGACAUAAGCUAUGCAUGCUCCAGCUCCAUGCGCCCUGUACGGAAAAGCUGCAUGGAGAAGGGGCAGCCAGCUUCAUGCGCUGUUAUACUCGUAGAACAUAUUUUAUCACAAGAUUAUGUUGAGGGAUAAAGUCGCCGCAACAAAUGUGUUUGGAGUCCGAUUUGGUAAGGGGUAGGAUGUUGGGAGGCAGUGCAUGAAAAUCGGCAUGCAGCUGCUGUUGUGGGAGAUGAUGGUUGCUGCUGUGAAAACACAAACACAGGACAUUGUUGCCAGCUGUAUAGUUUGUACAGGCUGGUUGCUGAUUGCAUGAUAAAAAAUUCUGCAAGCAAGAAUUUAAAGGAGAGGCAAGACACUUCAUAUUUAGUGCUAUGUUAUGCCUUGAGAGAAGAGAAACCAAAGAGUCUCCCUAUUGAUGGUUUGGAAGUAAUGAAGAUUUAGCUGUCAACUCAUCAUCAGUACAAUGUAUUGUCCAAAGUGUGGUACUAAGCUAGGAGAUUUUUUUUGCUUCAAGUGAAGCUAGGAAAGAUGAUGUUGUAAGUUUUUGUG
Molecule: long non-coding RNA, 644 nt
Organism: Cicer arietinum (chickpea)
Lineage: Eukaryota; Viridiplantae; Streptophyta; Magnoliopsida; Fabales; Fabaceae
Source: RefSeq, a predicted model, not a curated record